CUGAUCCAGCCAUACCGCGUGGGUGAAGAAGGCCUUCGGGUUGUAAAGCCCUUUUGUUGGGAAAGAAAUCCAGCUGGCUAAUACCCGGUUGGGAUGACGGUACCCAAAGAAUAAGCACCGGCUAACUUCGUGCCAGCAGCCGCGGUAAUACGAAGGGUGCAAGCGUUACUCGGAAUUACUGGGCGUAAAGCGUGCGUAGGUGGUCGUUUAAGUCCGUUGUGAAAGCCCUGGGCUCAACCUGGGAACUGCAGUGGAUACUGGGCGACUAGAGUGUGGUAGAGGGUAGCGGAAUUCCUGGUGUAGCAGUGAAAUGCGUAGAGAUCAGGAGGAACAUCCAUGGCGAAGGCAGCUACCUGGACCAACACUGACACUGAGGCACGAAAGCGUGGGGAGCAAACAGGAUUAGAUACCCUGGUAGUCCACGCCCUAAACGAUGCGAACUGGAUGUUGGGUGCAAUUUGGCACGCAGUAUCGAAGCUAACGCGUUAAGUUCGCCGCCUGGGGAGUACGGUCGCAAGACUGAAACUCAAAGGAAUUGACGGGGGCCCGCACAAGCGGUGGAGUAUGUGGUUUAAUUCGAUGCAACGCGAAGAACCUUACCUGGCCUUGACAUGUCGAGAACUUUCCAGAGAUGGAUUGGUGCCUUCGGGAACUCGAACACAGGUGCUGCAUGGCUGUCGUCAGCU
Molecule: ribosomal RNA, 686 nt
Filed under: Stenotrophomonas sp. SN13(2013)
Lineage: Bacteria; Pseudomonadati; Pseudomonadota; Gammaproteobacteria; Lysobacterales; Lysobacteraceae
Description: bacterial SSU rRNA
Rfam family: Bacterial small subunit ribosomal RNA
Source: RNAcentral